AUUUCCUGGGAAUCUUGUUAAAAUGCAGAAUCUCAUCCAUUAGGUCUGAGAUUUUGGAUUUCUAAUCAGUCCCCAAAUGAUGCCAGUGCUGCU
This 93-nucleotide microRNA precursor is filed under the name Dasypus novemcinctus (nine-banded armadillo). Its description in RNAcentral is "miRNA (ENSDNOG00000039543.1)". Lineage: Eukaryota; Metazoa; Chordata; Mammalia; Cingulata; Dasypodidae. The record is from RNAcentral.